GGCUUCAGUGUGAGGGGAUUGUUCAGGAGUUGGAUGAUAGACGUCAGGAACUUCCAAUGGGUACGCUAAAGCAGCUGCAUACUAGGAUGCUCUUUAUACUUACAAGGUGUACCCGAUUGCUUCAAUUCCAUAAGGAAAGUGCGUUUGCUGAGGAUGAACCCGUAUUUCAACUUCGUCAGUCGUUGCAGCCUGUGGAAAAACGCAUUCCUCCUGGCAUUAGAAGAAAUGUUAUGAUGUCUGGUCCUAUGCAAUUCCCAAAGGUGCCGGCCCCCAGAAAAUCUUAUAGUCAGGAACAACAUGGGUUAGAGUGGAAGAGAGUUCAGGCUGUAAAUCAAAAGGACUCUCAGGUUGUGCAAGCUGAAAAUCCAAAAAAAUUGGAGACUCCUGGAGGAGGGGAUCGGAUGAAGAAAUUUCCGACUCCAGCAGUAAAAAGUCCCAAAGAAGCUUCUCCACUCAAGGAGCACACAAUUGAUGGCAAUAUUAAACCUUCAAAGCUAUUAGUGGACAAAAGAGGAAUACCUGAUGUAAAUCUAGCUGCUGACAAGCAUCCUGAGCUUCUUUCUGCUAAAGAUUCUCAUGCACAUUCUUCAAUUCCUUCCAAGCACCAGCAUAAAGUUUCCUGGGGAUACUGGGGUGAUCAACCAAGUGUUUUGGACGAAAAUUCAAUAAUUUGCCGCAUUUGUGAGGAUGAGGUUCCCACUUUGCAUGUAGAAGAUCACUCCAGAAUAUGUGCUAUUGCCGAUCGUUGUGAUCAAAAGGGUCUUAGUGUUAAUGAGCGCUUGCUUAGAAUUACAGAUACUCUUGAGAAGCUCAUGGAGUCAUUUGCACAUAAAGACAUCCCGCAUGCCGUUGGAAGUCCAGAUGGUGCAAAAGUAUCAAACUGUAUUUUAACUGAGGAAUCUGAACCUCUCUCUCCAAAACUUAGUGACGGGUCUUGCAGAGGUUCAGAGGAUAUGCUUGACUGUCUUCCUGAGGUGGAUAACUCUGUUUUCAUGGAUGAACUUAAAGGUUUACCUUCUAUGUCAUGUAGAACCCGGUUUGGACCUAAAUCCGAUCAAGGGAUGACAACAUCAUCUGCUGGCAGCAUGACACCUAGAUCCCCCUUGCUGACUCCAAAGACCAGCCCAAUCGACCUACUAUUGGCAGGAAAAGGUUGUGCCGCUGAGCAUGAUGAUCUUCCUCAGAUGAUUGAACUUGCCGAUAUUGCUCGAUGUGUGGCAACUACACCUAUAGAUGAUGAUCGCUCUUUGCCUUAUUUGCUCUCUUGCCUUGAAGAUUUAAAAGUUGUGACUGAACGCAGAAAGUUAGAUGCACUUACCGUGGAAACAUUUGGAACUCGUAUUGAAAAGCUGAUUCGGGAACAGUAUUUGCAACUGUGUGAGCUAGUCGAUGAUGACAAAGUUGAUCUAACGAGCACUGUCAUUGAUGAAGAUGCUCCCUUGGAAGACGAUGUCGUACGUAGCUUGAGAACUAGCCCAGUUCAUUCCAAAGAUCGUACGUCUAUUGAUGACUUUGAGAUUAUCAAACCAAUUAGUCGUGGGGCAUUUGGUCGGGUUUUCUUGGCAAAAAAGAGAACAACUGGAGAUCUCUUUGCAAUUAAGGUCCUGAAGAAGGCAGACAUGAUACGCAAGAAUGCUGUUGAGAGUAUCUUGGCCGAACGUGAUAUCUUAAUAUCAGU
RNAcentral lists this unclassified non-coding RNA (1678 nucleotides) under Hevea brasiliensis (rubber tree). Lineage: Eukaryota; Viridiplantae; Streptophyta; Magnoliopsida; Malpighiales; Euphorbiaceae. The record is from RNAcentral.